Molecule: non-coding RNA, 242 nt
Organism: Pelobates cultripes (western spadefoot toad)
Lineage: Eukaryota; Metazoa; Chordata; Amphibia; Anura; Pelobatidae
Source: the annotation of a GenBank genome assembly
AAAGAGACAUGUUAAAAACUUUUGAUUUAUCUAAUUGGUAUCAAGCUAUAAAAGUUACUAAACAAAUAUCACAUAGUCUUACCCACUGGGAAGCCUAUAGUAAAAUAUGAAUGCGUUGGUAUUUAGUUCCCGCAAAAGUGGCACAAAUGUAUGAAGGCACUUCUGACAUAUGCUGGAGUUGCCAAAGGAAUAAGGGAACCUUACUACAUAUUUUUUGGUAGUGCCCUAAUCUUGCACAAUUU